AGGUGGGAUGAGGGUGGGAUGAGGGUGGGAUGAAGGUGGGAUGAAGGUGGGAUGAAGGUGGGAUGAAGGAGGGAUGAAGGUGGGAUGAAGGCAGGCUGAAGAUGGGAAUCAAGGUGGGACUGAGGUGGGAUGAGGAUGGGAUCCUGGUGGGAUCUCACCAUUCCAGGUGGAUUCCCACCAUUCCAGAGAUGGACACCCGAGAUGGACACCAGAGAGGGACACAGAGAUGGACACAGAGAUGGACAACAGAGAUGGACACAGAGAUGGACACAGAGAUGGAACCCGGGGAUGGACACAGAGAUGGACACAGAGAUGGACACAGAGAUGGACACCAGAGAGAGACACCAAAGAUGGACACAGAGAUGGGCACCAGAGAUGGGCAUCAGAGAGGGACUCCAGAGAGGGACACCAGAGAUGGACACCAGACAUGGGCAUUAGAGGUGGACACCAGAGAAGGGCACCAGAAAUGGACACCAGAGAUGGAACUCGGGGAUGGACAACAGAGAUGGGAACAGAGAGGGACACAGGGAUGGGACACAGAGAUGGACACAGAGAUGGACACCAGAAAUGGACACCAGAGAUGGAACCCGGGGAUGGACACAGAGAUGGACACAGAGAUGGAACCCGGGGAUGGACACAGAGAUGGACACAGAGAUGGACACCAGAGAUGGGCACCAGGGAUGGACAGAAAGAUGGACACCAGAGACGGACACAGAGAUGGACACCAGAGAUGGACACCAGAGAUGGACACAGAGAGGGACCCCAGCCCUCCACCAGCAGGUUUCCAUGCCAGCCCUGGAUCCCAACACUGGGCACAAAUCCACCCUGUGGAGCUGCUCUGGUGCUCCCACACAGCCCUCAACCCCAAAAACCCAAAACCACCCCAAAAUCUCCUUCCCAAGAGACAAGGAACACCCGGCACUCACUGGUUUGGUGGAGGAGGAUGAGGAUGGCGAGAUGAGGGAUCCAAAACACGUCCAUGGAUGCCCAGAAACAGAGAGGAUUUGGGGCGCCAGCACCCAAAAACGAGCACCACAAAGAGGAAGCAGAAAAGUGCCCGGGUGGUUUUUCAGUGCCUGGGUGCAGGGCAGGGCUUUGGAUGUGGUUUGUGACAAAAAUGACGCGUGGAGGAAAGGCGAUUCUCGCUUCAGUGAAAAUUUGAGGCGUUGAAAAGAAACCAAACCCAACUCCAAUGCCCAGCAAGAUGAGGGUGGCUGUGGGGACAGAGAGUGUCACCGUGGCCGUGGG
Molecule: long non-coding RNA, 1248 nt
Filed under: Zonotrichia albicollis (white-throated sparrow)
Lineage: Eukaryota; Metazoa; Chordata; Aves; Passeriformes; Passerellidae
Description: lncRNA (ENSZALG00000001889.1)
Source: RNAcentral